Long non-coding RNA from Marmota flaviventris (yellow-bellied marmot), 636 nucleotides. RefSeq lists it as uncharacterized. The record is from RefSeq and is a predicted model, not a curated record. NCBI's taxonomy places the organism in Eukaryota, Metazoa, Chordata, Mammalia, Rodentia, Sciuridae.
GAAUCCUCAAACAAAAUGCAAGAAAAUGAGUUUUCUGGUAGCCUGCAAUGCUAUCCAGAGAUCAUAUUUUCUUCCUGCAGGCCUUGUGCUGAGCACUUCGUCAUCUCACUCAGUUCUCACAAUAACCUCCUCAGGAAACUUCCUCAGAGAGCUUAAGUAACUUGCCUAACAUCACACAGGAAGAGCUGGAAUUUAAAUAUAGACAGGCUGACUACAAACCUGGUUCCCCAAACUAGGGGGAAGAAUACCCAGGGACCUGCUGUAGGAUGUUGGGGUGAGGAGGUGAAAAGCAACGGACAGAUAGAUGACCCAGUGAUUCAUUUCUUUCUGUCUUUCUCUGCCCAUGAAAGCCCUUUCCCCUGCUCUCAGAACAAUCAAAGAACAGCUGCACCAACUGGAUCACGGCGCAGGGAAUAGGAGGCUGAUUGAAGGUUUUGUUCCUCUCAGCUCUUAGUGCUUAAGGAUGACGACGACGGUGACGGGAUCCUGGGAGGAGAUGUUGCUACAGUCAAGAAAGCUUCCUGAAACGAGCCAGUCCCCCCAAACCAGAGGUCGAAUGUUCUCUGUGUAUGUGGAUUCUAACCCACGAUAAGGGGUGGUGGAGGUAGGGAAGAAUAGAAGUUCAUUGGACAAGAC